AGACUUUUUUGACCUAGGUGACUUCUCUUCUCAGUGACAAUACCUCCUGCUACACUGAAGGUCCUUUCUGACAGGACACUUGAAGCGGGGCAGGCCAGAAGUUCUAUCGCAAAUUGGGAUAGCUCAGGCCACAGGUCAAGCCUGCACACCCAGUAGUCAAGGGGUUCAUCGCUCCUCAGAGUGUCGAUAUCUGCAGUUCCAACGUGUUGGGCUGUCGCAAAUCAAGCGCCUCACUGGCAUGUUUUUUCGCCGCUGGAUAU
Molecule: non-coding RNA, 260 nt
Organism: Pelobates cultripes (western spadefoot toad)
Lineage: Eukaryota; Metazoa; Chordata; Amphibia; Anura; Pelobatidae
Source: the annotation of a GenBank genome assembly